RNAcentral lists this ribosomal RNA (484 nucleotides) under uncultured bacterium. RNAcentral describes it as "partial 16S ribosomal RNA". It matches the Rfam family "Bacterial small subunit ribosomal RNA", at positions 30 to 507 of the family's 1533-position model. The record is from RNAcentral.
AUUGAACGCUGGCGGCAGGCCUAACACAUGCAAGUCGAGCGGAUGAAGGGAGCUUGCUCCUGGAUUCUGCGGCGGACGGGUGAGUAAUGCCUAGGAAUCUGCCUGAUAGUGGGGGAUAACGUCCGUAAACGGGCGCUAAUAUCGCAUACGUCCUGAGGUAGAAAGUGGGGGAUCUUCGGACCUCACGCGAUCAGAUGAGCCUAGGUCGGAUUAGCUAGUUGGUUGGGUAACGGCCUACCAAGGCGACGAUCCGUAACUGGUCUGAGAGGAUGAUCAGUCACACUGGAACUGAGACACGGUCCAGACUCCUACGGGAGGCAGCAGUGGGGAAUAUUGGACAAUGGGCGAAAGCCUGAUCCAGCCAUGCCGCGUGUGUGAAGAAGGUCUUCGGAUUGUAAAGCACUUUAAGUUGGGAGGAAGAGAAGUAAAUUAAUACCUUGAUGUUUUGACGGUACCAAAAGAAUAAGCACCGGCUAACUUCGUG